This 404-nucleotide ribosomal RNA is filed under the name uncultured bacterium. RNAcentral's name for it is "bacterial SSU rRNA". It matches the Rfam family "Bacterial small subunit ribosomal RNA", at positions 355 to 776 of the family's 1533-position model. The record is from RNAcentral.
UGGGGAAUAUUGGACAAUGGGCGCAAGCCUGAUCCAGCCAUGCCGCGUGAGUGAUGACGGCCUUAGGGUUGUAAAGCUCUUUCGCUCGGGACGAUAAUGACGGUACCGAGAUAAGAAGCCCCGGCUAACUUCGUGCCAGCAGCCGCGGUAAUACGAAGGGGGCUAGCGUUGUUCGGAAUUACUGGGCGUAAAGCGCGUGUAGGCGGGCUUUUAAGUCAGGGGUGAAAUGCCGAGGCUCAACCUCGGAACUGCCUUUGAUACUGGAAGUCUUGAGUCCGGGAGAGGUGAGUGGAACUGCGAGUGUAGAGGUGAAAUUCGUAGAUAUUCGCAAGAACACCAGUGGCGAAGGCGGCUCACUGGCCCGGAACUGACGCUGAGACGCGAAAGCGUGGGGAGCAAACAGG